CGGGCAGAGGGAGCCCAGGAGCGCAGGCAGGUGCAGAAUUUCCCUCCGGCCACCUACACAACAGAGGAGGCAGCUCUGCCUCUUCCUUCUGCCUUAAAGGGAGGCCAGGCGAUUCCCACCACCCGCUCCGAGUGCAGCGGACUUUCCCAGGUGCCCAGGAGGCCAUGUGCUCACUGGCCUGCAAAUUCCAGGACUUUCCACCAUCUGAGUCACACCCCAGAGGCUCCCGAGCCAUAACUGCUACAGACAGAGCUGGUACACCAGAGCUGCCCCUCCUGUCCAGUCUCCCAUGGACUGAGGAGCCCCUUGGAGCAGCAUGUCCAAUAGGGAUUUGAUGGGCGUUGCCCAAGAGACGCCCUGUGUUCUACAGCCAGUGUCCCAGGGAAGGAGAGUGAGGGGGAGCUGCAGGCCACAGUGUCCACCUGAACCCAUACACAGGGACGUGUGGCUGCACUGUACUCAGUCUCAGCGGUUCUCCAGUGGUUUGCACCCGUUUCUGCAGAGGACUUUGGAAUCCCAUGUGCUGUACAGGUCAUCAGGGCUGGCUUCGGACCAGCUGUCUGCAGUAGCCCCUGGAGGCUGCAGGGCUGGAAGGACCCCCUGCCACACCUGAGGCAGGAUCCACAGGCCUCCGUGGGGGGUAGUGGGCAGGAUGGACUGUAGGUGCACAGGCAGGGUGGCGGGAGGGCGGCCUUGCAGGACCGGGGCCAGCUGCCUCCCGGAGGGAGGAAGCACCUGGCAAUCUCGCCUUGGCAGGAAGUUGCCUCUCGCCUCCGGCUGCACUCUGCUCUGGGUGGGGAGCCCCAUGGGGACCCCCGGUGGGGAUGGCCCCUGCACGAAGGCAAGGAACCCCUGCUGAGGGGACCUAGCGACUGCUGGGUCUGGGGAGGACUGGGGACAGGAGAAGCCCCUAGGGACUGUGGGCAGUGGCAGUGCUGCCGCUUUCAGAGUGUGAGGUCCCAGCCCUCCGUCUAGAGCAUGCUGUGGGGGGACGCGAGUGGCUCCGGCCGCUGCCUGUCAGUCUGUCCAGGGCUGGGGGACAUCGACACAAGGCCAUCGUUGGGGUCCCCUUGGAGAUCACCUGGGAGGAAGCUUGGCAUCAAGUUUGCAUGAGCCACUCCCAGUGGGGAGGACAGGAGUCACCUCUGCAGGUGGAGCACUGUGCCUGGCCUGGGGACAUGUGGGCCACCAGCAGGGCAGAUAGGACGCAGUGUCGUGGGGAGGCUGUGUGACCACGGGCACACUGCCCCCUCUCUGGGCCUGACUGCUGAGCUCCAGGGUCUGCAGGGCUGGCGGAGCCCUGUCCCCACACAGAGCGUGUGCAGUGGGUGGAAACCUCAGACCUCUCUUGGUGGAGGACCCAGCAGUGGGAAAGCCCUGAAGGUGGCGAGGGACCCGCUCCUGAGGAACCCCCAGAUGCGGUGGAGACGUCUGUGCCCUGCUGGCCCCAGCUGGCUCUGGGUGCACUCAGGUGCACCCCGGCCGAGAACUGAAGUGAGGGGCCGUGAACGCAGCCGUGAGGGCCUCCGGCCCCCACCCCGCACCCUGUCCAGGGUCUGUGAAGCUGGGGCUUUCCAGGCACUCAAAUCGCGCCCCUAUCCGGGAGGCCAGGAGGAAGCUCUGGGGCCCGCGGGGCGGAGUGAAUUCCCCAGUUCCCUCUCUGCUGGGCCCUCCUGGCCUUUGUCUGCAGGGGCAGCUGCAGGGGCGGCACCAGCCGGGCUCCCUGGGGAGGCAUGGGGGUGAACUGGGGCUCUGCUGUGCCGGCCCCCCUUCACCAGCCGCAUUCAGGGGGACUCGGUGGACGCAGGCAGCUGGUCUCCACCUCGGGGGUGGCUAGGUCCAGCCCACCACCCUGCACACAUCAGGAGGCCCAAGGUCAAGAGGGCUGCCUGUGUCCAGCACAGAGGACAGAGCCUGGGCCUUGCACCUUAGCCCUGGCCCAAGACCCAACGUACCCAGGCCAAUGUAGAGUCUCCCCUCUGCUCCCCCCCAGUGGACGGUACUGCCCAGGAGGACCACAGUCAUGACCUGGACAGGCCCCUCGGUCCUCCUGACUGUCCUGCUGCAUGACUGGGCUUCUAGCCCCUUUUGGGGGGCGAUGCUCACAGGCUGGGCCAGAGUCCACAGUGGGCCCAUCCUGCGGCCCUCCGGGGCUCUGCCUGAGCUCUGGGGACAGCCAGGGAGUUGGGGGAUUUGGGCAGAGGGGGGCCAGCUGCUCUGGCGGGUGUGGAGAUGGGACCUGGCGCUACGCCUGUCCUGUCCCCCGCGACGGCGCUGUACCACAAGGCAGGUCAAGGCCCCUCUCAUGAAGACCUGUGCUGCCCAGCAGGCGGUCUCCUGGCCCACCCAUCUGAGGGUGGCCCUGAUGCCAAGCCCAGGUUGGCUCGCCUGACACCUCCUGACAGUGGCCUGUGCACACACGGCCCCAACUAGGUACCAGGGCUGGGAGGGGCAUGGACACACUGCAGGGCCUUUGGGCAGUCGGUGCUGCAGAGGGAGGGGGUGGAGGGGAAGCCAUGCCAUCGCCCUGGGCCCCGUCCCUUCCCAUCUUCCUUGGAUGCGAUGGUCUUCCCAGGGUGCGAUGGAGGACGCAGGGCUCCGGGGAGGGCCUGGGCUCUGUGGAAGCCUCCGGGUGUGGGUGUGGCUUGUGUUCCCAGCAUUCCUCGCCCCCCAUGUCCUGGAGGCCCCUGCCUCCCCAGGUCCUAGCGUCCUUCCUGAGACCCCCUCCUCCAGGGCUGGCAUCGCCUCAGCCCGGCCGUCCCCCAGUGAGCAGCUGGGCCAUCUGGGGCAGCCUGCCCAGCUCCGGAGCAGGUGCUGGGCGGGAUGGGCUUGCCGGAGAGCCCAGUUCCUCUGCUGGUAGCAGGAAGAGAGCAGGGGGUGGGUGGGCAGAGGCCUGGGGCUCACUCACUACUGACACACUGUGUGGCCAUGAGUGGCCGUUCCCCUCCUAGCCCAUGCCCCUUUGGUAGAGGACGAGGUAAGAGCAGAUGGAAGUCAGGGACCAGAUCUGCCAUAUUUAAGGCCUGUGAUAGUCCUCAGGCUCUGACUGCAGGGGUCCUGGCUCCUAGGGAGAUGCCCUCUGGCUUGGAGGGACAGCUGUGACCCUGCCCCCCUGCCUGGGCAGGAGCUGAGGCCUUAUGAGACUUAAGGGAGGUUGGGCUGUAGCCUUGAUCCUGGGCUCGGGUCAGGCCCUAAAUCCUGGGCUGCUUGGGGGCAGAGGUGGACGCAGCUGAAGGGGGUCUGGUGGGUCUCAGCAGCCCCAGGAAGGCCCCGGCCCUGGCAGUCCCACAGCAGCCUGUGACGUGCUGGUCACGUCUGCUGGUCCCACACCUCAGGGACACCCCACAGGCCCCCCUGGGUGAGCUGGCCCAUCUGCACCUCUCCAUGGACAGGCCCUUAACUGUCCUCUGACCGAGGCCCUGACUAGAGAGACCCAGACAGUCAGGCCUCCCAGGCCACGUGGCGGAUGACCCCAGCCAGUGCUGGAAGGCGCCCAGACGCAUAGAUCCGCUGUGUCCAGGAGGCUCCGACACAGCAGCAAACAGUCCAUCAUGAGGCUCCCAGCCAGAGCUCGGGCUCCCUCAGGCCAGUCUCUGAGUCCCUCCCCUGAGCUGGAGCCCAGCACGAGACCUAAAGCCCAGCACCCGGGGGCCCCGUUUGCCCCUGCCCUGCUGGCUGUGGGGCAAGGACAUCUCCUCCUGUCUCUGGGCCCAGAUCCUGCUCUGACCAGGCUGAGAUGGCAGAUGGGGAUCUAGAGGCCCCGCAGGCCCACGGCCCGUCCUGCUUCAGCCUCGGCAGGAGUGCGAGCAGGUCGCCUUGAGCCUGCUGGAGACCAGGGGUCCUUUCUCUCUGAGCCCUGCGCUGGGUGCCACGGCCACCGUGAGCUGGCAGGCAGGGGACACGUGGAACAGGGAAGCGGCGGGUUUGCCCAGUGGGAUGACCACGGAAGGAGCCGAAUGCCGCAGGAAAAGACCGACGGGGGACAGGCCUCCUGAGGAGCUCUGGGCAGCUGCCAGAGACUGACCAGCGCACGCGAAGGCCCUGGGUGUGGUGGAGCUACUGGCUGCGAGGAGAGUGCCGAGCGGUCGACGGAGUUCGCACCAGAUUGCUCUUCCAAAAGACGUGACGUCAGGGCAGCCCUGCCCUCGAGGGCCUCCCACCUCUUUCUGGGCAGCCCUCCUGAGGGCCACCUCCACCUCCGAGCAGACACCCUGGGCCAGGCAGACAGACCCCUGCUUUGGUCUGACCUCUGACUCCAUGACCAUUGAUAACUGUAACAAUGACCAGAGCCCAGGGGCAUCUGGGGGCAGCUCCCCCAGAGGGGUGGACGGGUUUGGCAUGUGUCCCCUGGAAGGAGAACUGGGCGGGGGAGUGGGGGUCCUCACCCUCGCUACUCCCAUCUCUGCCUCCCGUCCAAGCACAUCACAAGACCAACGAGUCAGAGGAGCUGUGCUGGGACCCGUCAGCGGGAGGCGUCCCCCUCGACCUGGGGAGGAAGUGAGAGCCGGCUUCGCGUGAAGGGUGUCCACCUCCAGCCUCCAGGACCACUUCCCCCACGAAGCUGGCCUGACUGCCUGUCCUGCACCCUCUCUCCCUAGGCUCCCCUGCCUAGGGGUUGCCUUGCCCUCAAGGAGCAGGGCCCAGUCUCCCUGGCACAGAGGAGAGCCUCUUGAACUCCGCAGAGACCGGCCUUCCUCAGGCUAUGACCUUCUGUCUCACCUUGGGCCCAGAGCUGUGGAGCCGGCUGAAGGCGAACUGAACCUCCGAGGCCAUGAGCCAAAAUAAACUGCCCCUCCUCCGA
This is a long non-coding RNA of Marmota flaviventris (yellow-bellied marmot), 4801 nucleotides long. RefSeq lists it as uncharacterized. The record is from RefSeq and is a predicted model, not a curated record. Lineage: Eukaryota; Metazoa; Chordata; Mammalia; Rodentia; Sciuridae.